This 253-nucleotide ribosomal RNA is filed under the name uncultured bacterium. RNAcentral describes it as "partial 16S ribosomal RNA". It matches the Rfam family "Bacterial small subunit ribosomal RNA", at positions 524 to 776 of the family's 1533-position model. The record is from RNAcentral.
UACAGAGGUCCCAAGCGUUGUUCGGAUUUACUGGGCGUAAAGGGUGCGUAGGUGGCUAGUUAAGUUUGACGUGAAAUCUCCGAGCUUAACUCGGAAAUGGCAUUGGAAACUACCUUGCUCGAGGGUUGGAGGGGGGACUGGAAUACUUGGUGUAGCAGUGAAAUGCGUAGAUAUCAAGUGGAACACCAGUGGCGAAGGCGAGUCCCUGGACAACUCCUGACACUGAGGCACGAAAGCUAGGGGAGCAAACGGG